GACGAACGCUGGCGGCGUGCUUAACACAUGCAAGUCGAACGGAAAGGCCCUGCUUUUGUGGGGUGCUCGAGUGGCGAACGGGUGAGUAACACGUGGGUAACCUGCCCUUGACUUUGGGAUAACUUCAGGAAACUGGGGCUAAUACCGGAUAGGAGCUCCUGCUGCAUGGUGGGGGUUGGAAAGUUUCGGCGGUUGGGGAUGGACUCGCGGCUUAUCAGCUUGUUGGUGGGGUAGUGGCUUACCAAGGCUUUGACGGGUAGCCGGCCUGAGAGGGUGACCGGCCACAUUGGAACUGGGAUACGGCCCAGACUCCUACGGGAGGCAGCGGUGGGGAUAUUGCACAAUGGGCGGAAGCCUGAUGCAGCAACGCCGCGUGCGGGAUGACGGCCUUCGGGUUGUAAACCGCUUUCGCCUGUGACGAAGCGUGAGUGACGGUAAUGGGUAAAGAAGCACCGGCUAACUACGUG
This 467-nucleotide ribosomal RNA is filed under the name uncultured bacterium. RNAcentral describes it as "partial 16S ribosomal RNA". It matches the Rfam family "Bacterial small subunit ribosomal RNA", at positions 28 to 507 of the family's 1533-position model. The record is from RNAcentral.